GGAUGUGAGGGCGAUCUGGCUGCGACAUCUGUCACCCCAUUGAUCGCCAGGGUUGAUUCGGCUGAUCUGGCUGGCUAGGCGGGUGUCCCCUUCCUCUCUCACCGCUCCAUGUGCGUCCCUCCCGAAGCUGCGCGCUCGGUCGAAGAGGACGACCUUCCCCUAAUAGAGGAGGACCGGUCUUCGGUCAAGGGUUAAGUUCUUAGGAACUUAGGAACUUAAGUCUAGGAACCGUUGAAAAAUACACAGAAUUGAGUCAGCUGAGGUUUGCUUUCCUU
Molecule: unclassified non-coding RNA, 275 nt
Organism: Meriones unguiculatus (Mongolian gerbil)
Lineage: Eukaryota; Metazoa; Chordata; Mammalia; Rodentia; Muridae
Gene: 7SK
Rfam family: 7SK RNA
About the family: 7SK was discovered as an abundant small nuclear RNA in the mid-70s but a possible function has only recently been suggested. Two independent studies have found that 7SK RNA binds the CDK9/cyclin T complex (known as elongation factor P-TEFb).
Source: Ensembl